Molecule: unclassified non-coding RNA, 332 nt
Filed under: soil metagenome
Description: partial contains 5.8S ribosomal RNA, internal transcribed spacer 2, and large subunit ribosomal RNA
Rfam family: 5.8S ribosomal RNA (bases 1-120)
Source: RNAcentral
GAUGAAGAACGCAGCGAAAUGCGAUAAGUAGUGUGAAUUGCAGAAUUCAGUGAAUCAUCGAAUCUUUGAACGCACAUUGCGCCCUUUGGUAUUCCUUAGGGCAUGCCUGUUCGAGCGUCAUUUAAACCUUCAAGCUAAGCUUGGUGUUGGGUGACUGUCCGCCUCACGGCGGACUCGCCUCAAAAUUAUUGGCGGCCGGUACAUUGGCUUCGAGCGCAGCAGAAACGCGAACUCGGGCCCGUCGUAUUGGCUCCCAGAAGCUAUCUUCACAAUUUUGACCUCGGAUCAGGCAGGGAUACCCGCUGAACUUAAGCAUAUCAAUAAGCGGAGGA